AUUACAGAGUUAUCUAACUCCCAAACCCAUGUGAACUUACCACUGUUGCCUCGGCAGAUGUUGCUGGGCGAACCUACCCUGUAGCGAGCUACUCUGUAGCGACCUACCCGGGAACGGCUUACCCUGUAGCGCCUGCCGGUGGACUACUAAACUCUUGUUAUUUUUAAGUAAUCUGAGCGUCUUAUUUUAAUAAGUCAAAACUUUCAACAACGGAUCUCUUGGUUCUGGCAUCGAUGAAGAACGCAGCGAAAUGCGAUAAGUAAUGUGAAUUGCAGAAUUCAGUGAAUCAUCGAAUCUUUGAACGCACAUUGCGCCCAUUAGUAUUCUAGUGGGCAUGCCUGUUCGAGCGUCAUUUCAACCCUUAAGCCUAGCUUAGUAUUGGGAACUGGCUUUACUGCCAUUCCUCAAAUUCAACGGCGGAUUUAUAGCAAUCUCUGAACGUAGUAAUUUUUUUCUCGUUUUUGAAAUACUGUAAACCUCAGCCGCUAAACCCCCCAAUUUUUAAUGGUUGACCUCGGAUCAGGUAGGAAUACCCGCUGAACUUAAGCAUAUCAAUAAGCGGAGGAAAAGAAACCAACAGGGAUUGCCUUAGUAACGGCGAGUGAAGCGGCAAUAGCUCAAAUUUGAAAUCUGGCGCUUGCGUCCGAGUUGUAAUUUGCAGAGGAUGAUUUUGGUUAGGUACCUUCCGAGUUCCUUGGAACAGGACGCCUUAGAGGGUGAGAGCCCCGUACGGUUGGAUGCCGAGCCUUUGUAAUCUCCUUCGACGAGUCGAGUA
Molecule: ribosomal RNA, 775 nt
Filed under: fungal sp.
Lineage: Eukaryota; Fungi
Description: eukaryotic LSU rRNA
Rfam family: Eukaryotic large subunit ribosomal RNA (bases 510-775)
Source: RNAcentral